Non-coding RNA from Pelobates cultripes (western spadefoot toad), 232 nucleotides. NCBI's taxonomy places the organism in Eukaryota, Metazoa, Chordata, Amphibia, Anura, Pelobatidae. The record is from the annotation of a GenBank genome assembly.
CCUGGUUCGGCACUUUCCAUUCAUGUGCGUUGAACCGAACGCUAGAUCCCUGGCGGCCGUUCGCAUGGACCAAAACCGUAAAUAGACUUCAGGGGUACUUGUCAGGAUUACUAAUUGAGCCCGCAUGCAGAUCUAUAUCAUACCAAGGGCUAAAAGGUAACGUCUUACCGGGCCUUCGAAAGGCCGGACUUAACAUACCAGAGAAUAGUCAGAAUUCGUUCGGGAGUUUUUU